GACGAACGCUGGCGGCGCGCCUAACACAUGCAAUUCGAACGAGCGAGCGAGAGCUUGCUUUCUUGAGCGAGUGGCUAACGGGUGAGUAACGCGUGAGGAACCUGCCUCAAAGAGGGGGACAACAGUUUGAAACGACUGCUAAUACCGCAUAAGCCCACGACCCGCCAUCGGGUUGAGGGAAAAGGAGCAAUCCGCUUUGAGAUGGCCUCGCGUCCGAUUAGCUAGUUGGUGAGGUAACGGCCCACCAAGGCGACGAUCGGUAGCCGGACUGAGAGGUUGAACGGCCACAUUGGGACUGAGACACGGCCCAGACUCCUACGGGAGGCAGCAGUGGGGAAUAUUGCACAAUGGGGGAAACCCUGAUGCAGCGACGCCGCGUGGAGGAAGAAGGUCUUCGGAUUGUAAACUCCUGUUGUUGAGGAAGAUAAUGACGGUACUCAACAAGGAAGUGACGGCUAACUACGUG
This 466-nucleotide ribosomal RNA is filed under the name uncultured bacterium. RNAcentral describes it as "partial 16S ribosomal RNA". It matches the Rfam family "Bacterial small subunit ribosomal RNA", at positions 28 to 507 of the family's 1533-position model. The record is from RNAcentral.